AUAACGACUCUCGGCAACGGAUAUCUCGGCUCUCGCAUCGAUGAAGAACGCAGCGAAAUGCGAUACCUGGUGUGAAUUGCAGAAUCCCGUGAAUCAUCGAGUCUUUGAACGCAAGUUGCGCCCGAGACCAUUAGGUCGAGGGCACGCCUGCCUGGGCGUCACG
RNAcentral lists this ribosomal RNA (163 nucleotides) under Gaiadendron punctatum. RNAcentral describes it as "5.8S ribosomal RNA". It matches the Rfam family "5.8S ribosomal RNA". From Rfam's summary of the family: 5.8S ribosomal RNA (5.8S rRNA) is a component of the large subunit of the eukaryotic ribosome. It is transcribed by RNA polymerase I as part of the 45S precursor that also contains 18S and 28S rRNA. RNAcentral also lists the same sequence under 1 other name. Lineage: Eukaryota; Viridiplantae; Streptophyta; Magnoliopsida; Santalales; Loranthaceae. The record is from RNAcentral.